RNAcentral lists this long non-coding RNA (666 nucleotides) under Actinidia chinensis (golden kiwifruit). RNAcentral's name for it is "long non-coding RNA (ACHI_LNC002925)". Lineage: Eukaryota; Viridiplantae; Streptophyta; Magnoliopsida; Ericales; Actinidiaceae. The record is from RNAcentral.
UUGUAUUAGAAUCAUCUAAUGUCUUACAGUGACAUCAAGCAAUACUGUAUCUUUCAAUAAAUAUCCUGAAUUUUGUUGGAAUUUGAACCAAGGUAUAUGAUUUAGUGCAGUGCGUUGUGGAACUUAAUAUGAAAGAACUAACUGUGCUAUUGGUGCUGUUUCAGGAAACACUUCUGAGUCAUUGGCGAACAAGUGCACUUUGAAAAGGCCUAGAUAUGACCAGGUCAAAAACAAUCAUUGAAAUUCAAAUGUUUGCUUUUACAUGCUUUUAAAUUUUACCCGGUUCUCUGUUGAGAGUUGUCACCAAUAUUUGCAAAAUGGAGGAUUCUUGAUUAAAAAGAAUGGAAAGUUGUCUGUCAUAGGAAGUCCACGACCAAUGUAGCUCUCAAAUUCAAAGAUGCAAUAGGAAAUAUUCAAGGCUCAUGGCCAGAAGGUGAUACUUUGUUUGACUGCAGAACUGAAGAGGACUCACUUGUUAAAUCUUGCUUCUUGGGGCCAACGUAGAAAUUUUACUAAUCAGCCCUUAUUUGGGUACUCUAUUUUGCGGGGGCUUUCUUCCUUAUGUAGAUCAUCUAUGGCCAAACUUAUCAGUGCAAACAACUCUAAUACCACUUGUUGGGCCUUGCCACUUGGUCUAUAUGUUGGGCCUAUAGCUCUGGUACCACU